UUGCAACACAAGAAACUGAAAAAAUCCAAGGGGUCUGAAUACUUUUGCAAGGCACACACUGUAUGUGUCUCAAAUGGCCAAAGUGUGCCUGUCACAAUCAUGUCUCGGGGGGCACGUACCCUAGAUAUGAUCUCAAAUGUUGGAAGAAUCUCUACGAUGGAUUUUCACACAUACUCAAGUGAACCCCACUGUCCUCCCCUCCCCAGGUGCCCCCCCUCUGUGGACCCCCCUAGCGUGACCCCCUGUGGCUGGUUCAGAAGGAAUCCCCUCCACCCUGCACCGAGGACCAGUUACGACCUGCGGGAGCGCAUCUGCAUCGGCAGUAUGACGACCAUGGAAACAGCUGUGUACCAGAAGGUGCCCACUGACGACGCUGAGGCUGAGAUGCUGGCUAGCGCUGAUCUGGACGACAUGAAAAGUCACCGAUUCGAGGACAACCCUGGAGUGAGGCGUCACCUGGUGAAGAAGUCAUCUCGAUGCCAGCUCCUCCAGACCACCAACAGCUCUUCGCAACUGUCCAGCGUGAAGAAGAAGAGGACGGCUGACAAGAAGACCCAUGAGGUGUUUGUGGAACUCAAUGAGCUGAUAGUGGAUAAGAACCAGGAAAUGCGCUGGAAGGAGACGGCCCGUUGGAUCAAGUUUGAGGAGGACGUGGAGGAGGAGACAGACCGCUGGGGAAAACCCCACGUGGCUUCGCUUUCCUUCCGUAGCCUGCUGGAGCUCCGCAGGACCAUCACACAUGGUGCCGUCCUUUUGGACCUGGAGCAGACCACCUUGCCUGGUAUUGCUCACCUGGUGGUGGAGACCAUGAUCAUCUCAGACCAGAUCAGAGCGGAGGACCGUGCCAACGUGCUCCGCGCCCUGCUGCUCAAACACCAAAAUCACGUCACCCCCCCCCUGCCGACGGCUCACGAUCAUCAGAUUACCAAACACACAAAACUCUUAGCCAAGAUUCCCAAGGACGCCGAAGCAACCGUGGUCUUAGUGGGGUGUGUGGAGUUCUUGGAGCAGCCGGCCAUGGCCUUCAUCAGGCUGAGUGAGGCAGUGCUGCUGGAGUCGGUCCUGGAGGUGCCGGUGCCGGUCCGUUUCCUCUUUGCCCUGCUCGGCCCCGCUCAGUCCAACAUGGACUAUCACGAGAUCGGACGCUCCUUCUCCACCCUGAUGUCUGACAAGAACUUCCACGAGGUGGCUUACUUCGCGGACGACCGGCAGGACCUGCUGAACGGCAUCAAUGAGUUCCUGGACUGCAGCAUCGUUAUCCCCCCGUCGGACGUGGAGGGCAAGGACCUGCUAAAGACGGUAGCCUCCUUCCAGAAGCAGAUGCUGCGCAAGAGGAAGGAGAGAGAGAACAUUAAGAAGGGCCUGACCCAUGUGAGCCAGGAUGAGCAGGAAGAGGAGGACCAGGAGGUGGACCCCAUGAAGCGGUCGGGCAUCCCCUUCGGAGGCCUCAUCCAUGACAUCAGGCGACGCUACCCACGCUACGCCAGUGACAUCAAGGACGCCUUGGACUCACAGUGCAUUGCAGCCGUCAUCUUCAUCUACUUCGCAGCCCUCUCGCCCACCAUCACCUUCGGAGGACUGCUGGGAGAGAAAACAGAGGGCAUGAUGGGAGUGUCUGAGCUUAUCAUCUCCACGGCGACCCUGGGGGUGCUGUUCUCGCUGUUGGCCGGACAGCCCCUGCUCAUCAUCGGAUUCUCAGGACCGCUGCUGGUGUUUGAGGAGGCCUUCUACAAGUUCUGCCAGGCCCAGGGCUUUGAGUACCUGACUGGCCGGGUGUGGAUCGGCUUCUGGCUCGUCUUCAUAGUGCUGUUGAUAGUAGCGGCUGAGGGCAGCUUCUUGGUCAAAUACAUCUCACCCUUCACCCAGGAGAUCUUCGCCUUCCUCAUCUCGCUCAUCUUCAUCUAUGAGACCUUCUCGAAGCUCAUCAAGGUAUUCCAGGAGCAUCCUUUGAUGAGAAGCUACCCGCCUGCUCUCAGCCUGCCCGGUAUGGACUUCAUCAACCCCACAGACCCCGGGGGCCCGGUCCUAAACCAACCCAACACAGCCUUGCUGUCUCUCGUCCUUAUGCUUGGCACCUUCUUUGUGGCCUUCUUCCUCAGGAAAUUGCGCAAUAGUCGCUUCCUGGGCGGGAAGGCCAGAAGAAUCAUCGGAGACUUUGGCAUCCCCAUCUCCAUCCUCUUCUCUGUACUGUUGAGUUACUCCAUCCCCGACACUUACACCCAGAAGCUAAAUGUACCAUCUGGUUUCUCGGUCACGUCUCCUGACAAGCGGGGCUGGUUGAUCAGUCCAUUCGGUGACAAGAAGCCCUUUCCCUUGUGGAUGAUGGGGGCUUCGGUGGUGCCCGCCCUCCUUGUCUUCAUCCUCAUCUUCAUGGAGACACAGAUCACCUCACUAAUCGUCAGCAAGAAGGAGCGUCGCCUGGUCAAGGGAUCGGGCUUCCACCUGGACCUGCUGCUCAUUGUCACACUGGGCGCCAUGUGCCCUCUGUUAGGCCUGCCCUGGCUCACAGCCGCCACUGUGCGCUCUGUCACGCAUGUCAACGCCCUUACUGUCAUGAGCAAGGCCACGGCACCUGGCGAGAAGCCUAUGAUCCAGGAGGUGAAGGAGCAGCGGGUGACUGGCCUGGUAGUUGCCGUGCUCGUGGGUAUGUCUAUCGUGAUGACGGACGUGCUCCGUAACAUCCCAUUGGCCGUGCUGUUCGGGAUCUUCCUCUACAUGGGCGUCACGUCGAUCACCGGCAUCCAGCUCUACGAGCGCAUCACACUCAUGUUCACGCCCGCCAAGCACCACCCCGACCACAUAUACGUGACCAAGGUGAAGACAUGGCGUAUGAAUAUGUUCACCAUCAUCCAGCUGGCCUGCAUCGUGCUACUGUGGGUGGUCAAGUCGACCGUGGCCUCACUCGCCUUCCCCUUCAUCCUCAUCCUGACCGUGCCGCUCCGCCGCCUCAUCCUCUCCCGGAUCUUUGAGGAGCGUGAACCAAUAAUUCAUAAACUCUCGUCCCCACUCAAACCCUGGACAUGGGUUCUUCCUCUUCCUUUUAACGGUCAAGCUCUCUACAGGUUCCGGGCGUAA
RNAcentral lists this long non-coding RNA (3075 nucleotides) under Salmo trutta (river trout). Its description in RNAcentral is "lncRNA (ENSSTUG00000007096.1)". The record is from RNAcentral. Lineage: Eukaryota; Metazoa; Chordata; Actinopteri; Salmoniformes; Salmonidae.